UUCUUCAUGUAUUUAGGGAGAGGAGCUUUGUCUUGUGUUGUAGGCUAGGUAAUUCUAGCAAAUGUGUUUAAAAUUAAUGGUCUGUUGAAGCUGGUUGCCAUGUUAGCUUAUAUUCAGGGAACAUUAAAAUGCCCCAUGGCUUAAUAACAGUUGAAACUCUUGGAUUGAACUUCCUCUGACUGAAAUUAAGUAUGCUUGAUGGAGAUGUCUGCAUUUGAGCAAGUUGUCAAGAUUUCCCUCAUGGUCUGUAGAGAGAAAUAGGUACCUGUGUGGCUCUGUUCAUCUCACCUGUUUUACACAUCAGCCCUGGAAUGAGGUGAAAGGUGCCCCAGGUAGCCUAGGAUGGCCAGCUUAGAUGCUGACAUCUACAGUAUAGUACCUAAUUUCAGUUGAAUGAAUCCCACCCUUGGAGAGUCCUAGCCUUCUCAGGAAAUCUGGAGUAAGAGCUGAUUUGAGCAGAAAAAGGACGUUUCCCUGUGCAUGGAGCCCGAGUACUACAUGAGAAGAAUCACUCCAGACAAUAGUCACAAGUAGAGAAGCCAGGCAGCAAAAAGCACAGGCAAGCACUGCUAGCAUGGCUGUGAGAAAAAGUUAAGGAAGGAAGCUUUUGGAGCAGGGUACUGGAUCUCUGAGCAAAGGGACUGCCUUCAUAUGUUUUUUAGGUUUUGGGGUUUUUUUGUUUUUUUUAACUUACGUAAUAAAUUAAAAAUUAAAAUAAAUUUUAAAAAUAUUUUGUUUGGGGAAACAAAAGUUUGGUAGAUGCACAAAAGCAUAAUAAAGAAAAACCUGUUCCUGAUCAAUUUUGUUUGAAAGAAACAACCUGCAAUUUAGGUAGAUUUAUUAACCUUAUACAGUGCAACUGUCAGAAUCAAAUUGCAAGACAUUAUCAUUUCAAGAUAACUCCCAUAAGGUAUCAUUCGCAUAUGCCUUUAGUAUGUUAGCUCUACAGUCCUUCAAACAAUGGAAAGGAAAAUUACUAUUUAGGCAACUUUAAGUCAUCAACCCUAUAAUUGAAAUUUUAAAAACAAAAAAUCUCAACGCUUGUUAUGCACUCAUGACCUGAAAGCAUGAAUCGAACUGCAAAUGAUUAAGGAUAGUUUGCAACUGGGAUAAGAAAAAGGAUUGUUUGCAACUGGUAUGCUUUCAGUAAGUUUUCCAUAUAACACAUUUGUGAAAAGGUUAUAUAUUAAUAAUCUCAUGUCGAUGUUCUUGAAAUGGAAAAAACAGCUUCUAGAUUAACGUAUGAUCUUUUGACUGGCAACACAUCCCGUCUUGCGGGGAUAGUGAGAACCAUUGAAGUUAUGCCAUAUUUACUUAUUUGAAAUUCCCAGUCAUCUUCCAUGUGACAAAAUACCUUUGUGGUAAAGUUAGGCAAUUAUCUUUCCUUUUUGCAGUUUUUUGCUUUUUGAAGUAGUUUUUAAUGAGUAGUGCUUGUGGGACUUGUAUGUGUGUUGAGCAAGUGACUUCAUACGGAGCUCAGUUAUGGAACAGUUAAAAGUUGGAGGUGAUUUUGGUUUUUUGUUUCUGUUUUUUUCCAUUCCCAUGAUACGUUCUUGGAAUGUAGUAAUUGACAAGGUACUGUGUGUUUUGUACUCAUGCUGAAAACAAGAAAACUUGUUCUGAAGUACUUGGUAUACAUUAAUGUCUGUAUAGACGCGUCUAUAUUCAGUUGUGUUCUGAUGGUUCUCUGGUUGCUUUUCUACACUGAUUUGCACUGUAUCUGAUGCUAGUUUGUGUGUACCGGUGUUCAGGACUCAGGAGAUGAGAUCCAUCUCUCCAAAUUCAGAUGUCUUCAAAGUAGUGUCUGUAUUAUCGGUAUUAUAAUUCUUUAUCUAAAUUCUCUGUAUUACCAGUGGAGAGAAACAUGUGACUCCAGGACAUGAUUCAUUUUUCCUAGUAUAAAUAACUAAGAUCAGGUGAAUCACAUUCUAGAAGUGCCUAAUUCUUUCCAUUGAUGAGGAGAGUCUGGAUUAUGAGAUUAGAAAUGUAGACAUUUACAAUAUGGAUGUCUAAAAUUAGGGAAAUGAAUUCAACCCUUGGUGAUAGGAUAUUUUUUCGCUUGUUAAAUACUCUGGUGUGCAGCCUUGUUCACUCUCUUUGCAUUUACUUGCAUGUCAAGUCAGCAGAUAACUAGUGUUAUGCAAUGGGUACCAUGCCUUGUGUGCUCCAUACCAGAGGUGUACAGUGAUCCCUUUUUCCUUGUCUUCUGGAGAGAAGUGAAAGUGCAGGAAACCUUAAAGGUGAAAUAUUGCUGAUGAAACACUUCUGUCAUCAUCACUAAAUUGGAUGGUCAAGUGGAAUGCUUCCUAAGCUAAAAUGAAGUAUAUGGGAGUUGUUUACAGGAAAGCAGAGUGCCAAGACUGGACUUUUCAUAAUCACACGUGCACAAUACCUGCCCAUAUUAUGAGAUGCUGGACAGAAUUUUGUCUCAGGAUCCUGAAGGACAUUUUUAAGGACUCUGAAGACACUGUGUUGGUCUUAAGUCCCCUACGUUGAAUCUGAGGGUGAAAGUAGGUCUGGAGAUUAGAUUUCUUCGUUAUGCAAGACAUCCAGCAAAUACGGGACCAAGAACUCCCUGCGUUGGGCCUGGAAACACAGUCGUACUGCCUCACGAUUGGACAUACAACCUUUAAAUCCUAUGUUGAGUCAGCCCGUAGCACUGUGGAGGAUGUUGGUUCAUACUGGAUUCUGCUGAGUGGUCUGUCUGAAUCCUGCACCUCUAUGCUCAAAAUCUCAACUAUAUAAGAGAGAGCAUCUCAGAAUUGCAGUGCUGCAAAUGACUUCUGUUUUACAGCAUCUUCUCAUGGCACCUCCUCAUCUUCCUUUUAGUUCCUAUAUCUGUGCGAUCAAAAUGACAAGCAGGAAGGUGGUAUACAGCAACAAGCGCUCUGCAGUGCCUUGCAGUCUUUAUACAGUGGAAGCCCUUCUUCCCUCAUUGUGUCCUGCCUUUUGCCUUGCCAGAAUCAAAUAGAAAAAUUCAUAAUAAAAAUUUUUGAGAGAAGUGGGAAGGAUUAAUAUUCUGUUAUUUCUAACUGUAAAAUAAAAUUGAAUUGCAUUCAGAACAAAAUAAUACUGUAGGAAGAAUAGGAAUAAUUUUGUUUAUGCGGUUGGAGAGCACUAUCAAUGUGAAGUUAUGAAUAACUUCCUGCGGGACUGUUGACUCUUUAGGAUGCAAUGAUGCAUCUUUGAUGGUGAGCAAACCACUAAUGAUAAUAGGUCCAGCAAUCAGUCUUCCCACGCGAGGUUGGUUGGCUGCCGCUACUGACCAGAGAAGGGCUUGUGUGUUCAUAUGUUGAUACUGCAGUUUCAAUUAGAUUUCUUGUAGAAGCUCCAUACGUUUUCUUUUUGAAUUUUGAAGCCAUUUCUGUCCAUCCUGUGUGUGCAGUGCAUUCUUCUCACAUGCACUGGUAUUUAUUCAUAAACACAGAAAUGAUUCAGUGUUGACUGAAGCAGGUCUAUAUUUUGAACCUGUCGCCCUUUCUGUUUAGUUGCAGGCAUGAUUGCUGUUGUUUCUACAAAAUCCGCAAUGAAAGCUGGCUUGUUUCGAGUUUUGCUUGUUCAACUAUGAUUAUGUGACAUAAAUGUAUCAAAGCCAUCAGCACAGGUUAUUACAUUAUUAGCAAUGGUUAUUGUUGUGGUACAGUGUGCUUUGUUAGUGAAUGGUUCGAAUAUGAUACCAAGAAGAAAACAAAAGAAAUGGAUCCUGAAACAAGUAUAGACUUUAUAGCUUCAACCCAAUCUCAGAAUUUCACUUGUAUUCUACUGGCUUCCAUAUGUAUUAUGCAUUUUGGUAUGGGGAAAAAUCCUACAGAAGAUGAUGAGAAAGCAUGGAAAGUGCUGAGAACUUUCUCCAGAAAACAUGACGAGUGGAAUGAAGGAUUUAUAAUGGACAAGAACUUGCCAUUUGUGAAUACAAUUACCGCUUAAUUUGCCAGGAAACAUUACAUUGCUUCAUAACAUUUCUCUGGGAGAUAUCCCUGCUCUUCAGAUAAACAAGCUGGGCUCUGACGAUGCUGUCACAAGUACUCAGAACCAGAAGUCACUGGAAGACCUCUUUUCUGUUGUCUAAUUCCCACAGUAAUUUUCCAUAUAACCUUUAUACACUUAUGCAAUAAAAAUUUCCAAAUUUACAAGA
Molecule: long non-coding RNA, 4135 nt
Organism: Dromaius novaehollandiae (emu)
Lineage: Eukaryota; Metazoa; Chordata; Aves; Casuariiformes; Dromaiidae
Exons: 2
Source: RefSeq, a predicted model, not a curated record